RNAcentral lists this ribosomal RNA (468 nucleotides) under uncultured bacterium. RNAcentral describes it as "partial 16S ribosomal RNA". It matches the Rfam family "Bacterial small subunit ribosomal RNA", at positions 28 to 507 of the family's 1533-position model. The record is from RNAcentral.
GAUGAACGCUGGCGGCGUGCUUAACACAUGCAAGUCGAACGGAAAGGCCAGUGCUUGCCCUGGUACUCGAGUGGCGAACGGGUGAGUAACACGUGGGUGAUCUGCCCUGCACUUCGGGAUAAGCCUGGGAAACUGGGUCUAAUACCGGAUAGGACAAUGGUUUGGAUGCCGUUGUGGAAAGUUUUUUCGGUGUGGGAUGAGCUCGCGGCCUAUCAGCUUGUUGGUGGGGUAAUGGCCUACCAAGGCGUCGACGGGUAGCCGGCCUGAGAGGGUGUACGGCCACAUUGGGACUGAGAUACGGCCCAGACUCCUACGGGAGGCAGCAGUGGGGAAUAUUGCACAAUGGGCGCAAGCCUGAUGCAGCGACGCCGCGUGGGGGAUGACGGCCUUCGGGUUGUAAACUCCCUUCGCUAGGGACGAAGCGUAUUUGUGACGGUACCUGGAGAAGAAGCACCGGCUAACUACGUG